UCCAGACCGAGAUAUAUACCGGAUGUGGGAAGCAACCAGUUAGGCUAAUUGAUCGAUUAACCAAUGAGAUGGGAGGAAUGGAGACGUGACCUUCUCCACUGGCUGGGACUUAUUUAUUUAUUUAUUUUUUUUAAAAUGGCGGCCUAAUUAAACUUCUCUGCCCACUUUGUUGCCUCUGCCACGUAUGGCGCCAACACCGCCGCGGACACUUGCUGCUGCUUGUCCAUGCGUUGGAUUAUAAACGAGCUCGUCUGUGGACUCAGGAGGCUUUGUGGAGUUAGCCCUUAAUCGUGGCGGUCGUGCGUCUCCCGAGAGUCACCUGAGGCUGGAAGCUGAGUUUCCUGUCCUAUGGUGUCCGCAGAUGGGGAGCUCGCAGAGUCCGAUUUUUCCACUUCACCGAGCUAUCAGAGAAGAAAGCAAGCUGCCGUGGGUGCAAAUCCUGAUCAGCCAGCAAUCAAGAAUUUAUCAGAUGCUGCAGCUGAAAAGAAGCGACAUAAUGGUCUUUAACCCAAAAACAGAUGGCUGGAGGACUGUGUGCAACAAAUGAAAUCAGACAUAGCAGACAGGGAACCAGCCAAAACCUCCUUCUCUGCAACACUGGUUCUUGAUAGAAACAGAGUUUUAAAGGGCAUAGAGUUGCUUCUGUUUUACAAGAUGCAAGAAAAGUUUUGACAAAUUUUUGCAUCAUAACACAGGGGCUCAAGAUGAAUUAGAACAAUUUUCAUUCACCAAUUUUUUUUAGAAUUAAAAGGAUAAUAAAACUUUCAGGACUUGUCGGCAAGAUAAGAUGACGUCCUGAAGCAGCCGGUUGCAUUGCUUUAGACCCCAGGUUUUAGUUGAUUGUCAGUACGCAAAUAAUGUGCUUUGUCUUUUAAAAAGUCAGUUAAGCAAAAUUCCAGCUUGUCUGUCAAGAUCUCUUCCUUUUUAGACUGAAUAAAAAUAGGCAGGUAUGAAGAAAAACAACUGAAAAAGAGAAAGCAAGCAAGAAAAGCAGUGUCAUAAUGCAGCCACUGCUCCAUUGGCCUUCAGUUGCAAAGAGUUUGUCAGGAAGCUAGGAGCAUUAAACAAUGCCAUUGUAGGUUUGAGUGCGUCUGAGAUGAAUGUUGGGUUAAACCAACACUAUACCUUCCAAAGAGGCCACAUUUCUACAGAGUGAGAGUGCCUCUACUACAAAAUAAAGCUCUUUUC
Long non-coding RNA from Xiphias gladius (swordfish), 1188 nucleotides. RefSeq lists it as uncharacterized. The record is from RefSeq and is a predicted model, not a curated record. The transcript has 3 exons. Lineage: Eukaryota; Metazoa; Chordata; Actinopteri; Istiophoriformes; Xiphiidae.